This 419-nucleotide ribosomal RNA is filed under the name uncultured bacterium. Its description in RNAcentral is "bacterial SSU rRNA". It matches the Rfam family "Bacterial small subunit ribosomal RNA", at positions 29 to 490 of the family's 1533-position model. The record is from RNAcentral.
AACGAACGCUGGCGGCAGGCUUAACACAUGCAAGUCGAACGGCUGUAGCAAUACAGCAGUGGCAGACGGGUGAGUAACACGUGGGAACCUUCCUAGGGGUACGGAACAACUCAGGGAAACUUGAGCUAAUACCGUAUACGUCCGUAAGGAGAAAGAUUCAUCGCCCCUAGACGGGCCCGCGUCGGAUUAGGUAGUUGGUGGGGUAACGGCCUACCAAGCCUACGAUCCGUAGCUGAUCUGAGAGGAUGAUCAGCCACACUGGGACUGAGACACGGCCCAGACUCCUACGGGAGGCAGCAGUGGGGAAUCUUGGACAAUGGGCGCAAGCCUGAUCCAGCCAUGCCGCGUGAGUGAAGAAGGCCUUAGGGUUGUAAAGCUCUUUUACCAGGGACGAUAAAUGACGGUACCUGGAGAAUAAG